AGUUAGCCCGUGGCUUUCUGGUUAGGUACCGUCAAGGUGCGAGCAGUUACUCUCGCACUUGUUCUUCCCUAACAACAGAGCUUUACGAUCCGAAAACCUUCAUCACUCACGCGGCGUUGCUCCGUCAGACUUUCGUCCAUUGCGGAAGAUUCCCUACUGCUGCCUCCCGUAGGAGUCUGGGCCGUGUCUCAGUCCCAGUGUGGCCGAUCACCCUCUCAGGUCGGCUACGCAUCGUCGCCUUGGUGAGCCAUUACCCCACCAACUAGCUAAUGCGCCGCGGGUCCAUCUGUAAGUGACAGCCGAAACCGUCUUUCAUCCUUGAACCAUGCGGUUCAAGGAACUAUCCGGUAUUAGCUCCGGUUUCCCGGAGUUAUCCCAGUCUUACAGGCAGGUUACCCACGUGUUACUCACCCGUCCGCCGCUAACAUCCGGGAGCAAGCUCCCUUCUGUCCGCUCGACUUGCAUGUAUUAGGCACGCCG
RNAcentral lists this ribosomal RNA (480 nucleotides) under Bacillus pumilus. RNAcentral describes it as "partial 16S ribosomal RNA". The record is from RNAcentral. Lineage: Bacteria; Bacillati; Bacillota; Bacilli; Caryophanales; Bacillaceae.